UUAUAUCUGCUUGUUUGAGAAGCUUGUAUUUGUUUUAAACUCCUAUUCUGACAUAUUGUAACUUGAUUCAAUCAAGGGGUUAAGGGUUGUUGGUGAGCCAGUGAAAACCAACGUUGUAGGUUGUAGUUGGUAAUCCGGAAAAAACCAACUGGGUUGGAUUGUGAGCCCGUGAAAACAGUCGGAUUGGUUCUAGUCGGUGAGCCUGUGAAAACCGACCGAGUUCCUUGUGAUCUCGUGAAAACAACAAGUUAGGUUGUGAGCUUGUAAAACAACCGGCUGUAAUCUAAGGGAUUAUAGUGAAAUUUCCAAGAGGUCUUGGGGAGUGGAUGUAGGUGCUAGGGUGCACCGAACCACUAUACAUCUUUGUGUUUGUGAUGCCUUAUCUCUUGUGCUUUAUGCCUUACAUUCAUACUUGAUUGUGUAAUAUCUCUAGCUUUGUUUCCUAUUGAUUUAUAAGUGAUUGUUUAGAGCUUGCUUAGCUUCCACUCCAUUCUUUACUAUUCACAUAGAUUAAAAUUGAUCAUACAACUAUAAGUUAAUUUUAGAUCAAUUGCACCCUAAAGCCAUAGUAUAAUUGCUCUAGCUUAAUUUUUCACUGCUUUACUUGUAAUUGCCUAGAGCUUAAGUAAAUAACAUCUUAUCAUUCCGCUGCAUUCAAUUCAAAGUUAAUUAGGAAACAUAAUUUUUAGAAAACCCAAUUCACCCCCCCUCUUGGGUUGUCACCUUGAGCAACACAUAACCAUCUCAAUUUGCUGUAACAACAAUUAUAAAAGAAAAUAAAAGCAGAAAAGGCCCCAUGUUGUGGCAGACGAUUGACAAUCAGGGCAUGGUGAGUUUAGCAUGAUGACAAUAA
RNAcentral lists this long non-coding RNA (853 nucleotides) under Phoenix dactylifera (date palm). RNAcentral describes it as "long non-coding RNA (PDAC_LNC017361)". Lineage: Eukaryota; Viridiplantae; Streptophyta; Magnoliopsida; Arecales; Arecaceae. The record is from RNAcentral.